AUCGAACGCUGGCGGCAGGCCUAACACAUGCAAGUCGAACGAGUGGCGGUCGGGUGCGCAACAUUUAGGAACCCGCCUAGUAGCGGGCGAUAGCCCGGGGAAACCCGAAUUAAUACCGCAUAUUAUUAGAUGAUCCUAAAUCAGAUUAGCUAGUUGGUGGGGGAAAGGCUCACCAAGGCGACGAUCUGUAACUGGUCUGAGAGGAUGAUCAGUCACACCGGAACUGAGACACGGUCCGGACUCCUACGGGAGGCAGCAGUGGGGAAUAUUGGACAAUGGGGGCAACCUGAUCCAGCCAUGCCGCGUGUGUGAAGAAGGCCUUGUGGUUGUAAAGCACUUUAAGCAGGGAGGCGUUACCUACAGAGUAAGCACCGGCUAACUCUGUGCCAGCAGCCGCGGUAAUAC
Molecule: ribosomal RNA, 405 nt
Filed under: uncultured bacterium
Lineage: Bacteria
Description: partial 16S ribosomal RNA
Rfam family: Bacterial small subunit ribosomal RNA
Source: RNAcentral